This 597-nucleotide ribosomal RNA is filed under the name uncultured bacterium. RNAcentral describes it as "bacterial SSU rRNA". It matches the Rfam family "Bacterial small subunit ribosomal RNA", at positions 112 to 704 of the family's 1533-position model. The record is from RNAcentral.
AAUACUUAGGAAUCUGCCCAUUAAUGGGGGACAACAGUUGGAAACGACUGCUAAUACCGCAUACGCCCUACGGGGGAAAGCAGGGGAUCUUCGGACCUUGCGUUAAUGGAUGAGCCUAAGUCGGAUUAGCUAGUUGGUGGGGUAAAGGCCUACCAAGGCGACGAUCUGUAGCGGGUCUGAGAGGAUGAUCCGCCACACUGGGACUGAGACACGGCCCAGACUCCUACGGGAGGCAGCAGUGGGGAAUAUUGGACAAUGGGGGGAACCCUGAUCCAGCCAUGCCGCGUGUGUGAAGAAGGCCUUUUGGUUGUAAAGCACUUUAAGCGAGGAGGAGGCUACUAGUAUUAAUACUACUGGAUAGUGGACGUUACCCGCAGAAUAAGCACCGGCUAACUCUGUGCCAGCAGCCGCGGUAAUACAGAGGGUGCGAGCGUUAAUCGGAUUUACUGGGCGUAAAGCGUGCGUAGGUGGCCAAUUAAGUCAAAUGUGAAAUCCCCGAGCUUAACUUGGGAAUUGCAUUCGAUACUGGUUGGCUAGAGUAUGGGAGAGGAUGGUAGAAUUCCAGGUGUAGCGGUGAAAUGCGUAGAGAUCUGGAGG